This is a non-coding RNA of Gossypium hirsutum (cotton), 145 nucleotides long. The record is from Rfam. NCBI's taxonomy places the organism in Eukaryota, Viridiplantae, Streptophyta, Magnoliopsida, Malvales, Malvaceae.
GGCUAAAAAUUUCAUCAAUCUAUACUAUUAAAAACUAGCGUGGCUGACAGAAUAACUAGAUAGUGACACAUGGCGUGCUAUAUGUACCUCAUAUUGACAUACAUGAACCAAUUUUAAACAGUAAAAAUGGAUGAAAUUUUUAACA